GAUAUAAAACUGCGACCAUAGUCAGCGGUAGUUGCGCACAGCACGUGUGCAAUGGCAGCCGCCAUGUCAAGGCGAGGCGUCACGCGAGGCGUGCGUGCGUGUUAGUGAAUUAACGAUGUGUUUUUAAGGAACCCGUGGUGUUAGCGCCUGCGCAAUCUCAUUCGUGGAGUAGUAUAUUUGGAUAGUUUUAUCUAUGGCUGCUGUUGUGACCCCAAGGCAACUGUUUUACCCCUGUCCUUCGCGGCUUUGUGGAUCUAUCAGCGUGCAUCGAUGUGCAGUGUUCUCCCCGGCGCCGAUUUACCAUUUCGAGGUUUUUUUAACCACUUCCUCAAAAGGACGCCCUUUGGUCGAAGUCAACGAAAAGCUCUCAAUCAAGAUUGCUGACCUGACGAAGAUCUCGAAGGAGGAAUCUGUAAAAAUACAUGCUGUGCUAAUAAAUGCUUUUAGCAAUUUUA
Dermacentor silvarum is the source of this 455-nucleotide long non-coding RNA. RefSeq lists it as uncharacterized. The transcript is spliced from 2 exons. The record is from RefSeq and is a predicted model, not a curated record. NCBI's taxonomy places the organism in Eukaryota, Metazoa, Arthropoda, Arachnida, Ixodida, Ixodidae.